GACGAACCGUGCGAACGUUGUUCGGAAUCACUGGGCUUAAAGGGCGCGUAGGUGGUCUGUCAAGUCGGGGGUGAAAUCUUUCGGCUCAACCGGAAAACUGCCUUCGAUACUGGCAGACUAGAGGGAGGUAGGGGUUGCGGGAACUACCAGUGGAGCGGUGAAAUACGUUGAUAUUGGUAGGAACGCCGGUGGCGAAAGCGCGCAACUGGAUCUCUUCUGACACUGAGGCGCGAAAGCUAGGGGAGCAAACGGG
This 253-nucleotide ribosomal RNA is filed under the name uncultured bacterium. Its description in RNAcentral is "partial 16S ribosomal RNA". It matches the Rfam family "Bacterial small subunit ribosomal RNA", at positions 524 to 776 of the family's 1533-position model. The record is from RNAcentral.